CACACAAGCAUUCUGGGAUAAGUUACACACACUGGGGGCUGAGGCAAAUCUCACACACCUGCACAUACACACACACUAGCAUCUGCAUGGAUGUACACACACACACAGGUCCCACGGUAAAUCUCUCUCACACACACACAGGUCCCAAGGUAAAUUACACACACUGGAAUCCUGGGGGUAAACGACCCAGGCAUGCGUGCAGACACACUGUGGUUCCAGGAGUAAAUCACACAGCUGGGACUCUACGCACCACACCAGCUUUUUCCAAACCAACCCGCUGACAAAUAUCACGCAAAGUGAAAGGCCAGGCACUGAGCGGAUAAGGAGACCUGAGUUCUGUUCUUGGCUCUACCACUGAACUGCUAUAUAACCUUGGGCAAGUCCCCUCUGUGGUCAACUAUUUGUUUAUUCAGACAGUGAGCGCUUUUGAGCAGGGACUGUAUCUCACUUUGUGUCUAUGCAGCAAGGGGGCCCACAUCUCAGUCACCGUGGGUCAAUGCAGCACCAGGAAAAAUGAAGCCUUAAUCUCUGUCAUGGGACACCCUGCGUGGCCCUGCCAUCUCUGUCUCCUCCUGCUGGGGACUUGCGCUCAGCACCACAUCACCUGAUGGAAUGAGAGGAGAGAGAAUCCAGAGAACACUGACUGCAGAUUUGACGAAACGCAAAGAAGGUACCAAUGUGAGAUUUCUAAAGAUAGCUACAGCACUUGACCCAAGGUUUAAGAAUCUGAAGAGCCUUCUAAAAUAUGAGAGGGACGGGGUUUGGAGCAUGCUUUCAGAAGUCUUAAAAGAGCAACACUCCGAUGCGGAAACUACAGAACCCAAACCACCAAAAAAGAAAAUCAACCUUCUGCUGGUGGCAUCUGACUCAGAUGAUGAAAAUGAACAUGUGUUGGUGUGCACUGCUUUGGAUCGUUAUCAGGAAGAACCCAUCAUCAGCAUGGAUGCAUGUCCUCUGGAAUGGUGGUUGAAACAUGAAGGGACAUAUGAAUCUUUAGCGCAAAUGGCACAUAAAUAUCUUGCAACCCUGGCUACAAUAGUGCCAUGUGAAUGUCUGUUCUCACUUGCAGGUGACACUGUAAAUAAGAAGCGGGCAGCAUUAUUUCCCGUAAAUAUAAACAAACUUGUCUAAAUGAUUUGCUGAACAAGAAGCAGGACUGAAUGAACGUUCAGGCUCUAAAGUUUUACAUUGUUUUGUUUUUGACUGCAGUUAUAUAACAAAAAAAAUUCUACAUUUGUAAGUUGCGCUUUCACGAUAAAGAGAUUGCGCUAUGGUACUUGUAUGAGGUGAACUGAAAAAUACUAAUUUUUUUGUUUAUCAUUUUUACAGUGAAAAUCUCUGUAAUAAAAAUAAUGUAAAGUGAGCACUGUACACUUUGUAGUAACUGAAAUCAAUAUAUUUGAAAAUAUAGAAAAACAUCCAAAAUAUUUAAUACAUUUCAAUUGGUAUUCUAUUGUUUAACAGUGUGAUUAAAACCGCAUUUAAUCGUGAUUAAUUUUUUGAGUUAAUUGCGUGAGUCAACUGCGAUUAAUCAACAGCCCUACUUUGUAUAUUUUGACAUGUGGAUAAUUUGUAUUUUAACUGUUAUAAGCUUUAACUUUUUGAAUCUUUGUGUCUAUUGUCAUUUAAUAAUUAUUGCCUCCUGCCCAAGUUGUCUGAUUCCCUCAUAAUUUCCUGUAACUUUGAAAAUUUAAAUCAAUAAAAACAAAAAAUGCUUAAAAACAAACUGAUAUUAUCUGUCUACAUUAUAAAAAAAAAUGAAAAUCAAAUUCUGCCAAGCUUAAUUAUAAUACAGUCUUUAAUUACAUGAUCACAUACACUUUUUUCCACAGGACCCCUGUCUCCUUUAGUGCAUAGGAUGGUCUGUGUCAUGGGGAUGAGUCAGGGUUUUGUAACAAAGGCGGCUGUACGACAGUUGGCUCAUUUGUCGCUGAAGUCGGAAGGUGUACAGAGAAUGAGGCAAGGGAUUGAAGGAAGAGGUCUCUUGGUUGAGGCAGUUAAAUGCCGCCCUAGAGAAAUAGAUUCUGUUCUUGCCUCUGCCAUAGAGUUCCUAUGUGAUGCUAGGCAAGUCACUAAACCAAAUUUUCACAGGUGGCCAUUGUGUGUUUCUCAUUUUCUGGGUCCCCAACCUGAGUCACCAGGGGUCAGAGCUGCAGAUGUGCUGAGCACUCCGCUGUAACUUAGAUCAAUAGCUGUGCUUUGAUAAUAUCCAGUGCUAUAAAAAUGCUAAGUAAUCUGGGCCUGGCAAUCUCAAAUUUGAAACCCAAAUUUGGUAGAGACUUUUUGAUAACUUUGACCUUCAUUCCAUAGAUCUAAAGUGGGGAUAAUACUAUUUCACCUCACAGGGGUUUAUGAAGAGAAAUGCAUUAAUGUUUGUAAAAAACUAAGAUAUAUGAUGAAAGCAGCAUAAAAAAGUCCAUGA
Caretta caretta (loggerhead turtle) is the source of this 2422-nucleotide non-coding RNA. NCBI's taxonomy places the organism in Eukaryota, Metazoa, Chordata, Testudines, Cheloniidae. The record is from RefSeq and is a predicted model, not a curated record.